Molecule: long non-coding RNA, 265 nt
Organism: Mastomys coucha (southern multimammate mouse)
Lineage: Eukaryota; Metazoa; Chordata; Mammalia; Rodentia; Muridae
Exons: 3
Source: RefSeq, a predicted model, not a curated record
CCCACCUCGGCUGCUUCUGCUGAGAUUCCCAACACUGCUGUGUCACGGAGGCCGAACCAUGACAGUGCCUGGCAGAGUCCAAAGACGAUGAAUGCUGGGUGUGACUCCAUUGCCGGAAGCUGAGGGGCUGAGGAGCCGGCUCAUCUAGUGGAGGUGCUGGCUGCCAGGCCUGAUGGCCUGAGCUUGGUCCUUGGGAUGUGGAUGAUGGCAGAAGAUGAGCCGUGGAGAUAAUAUUUUCAUCAGCACGAUCUAAUGUGGAAAGAUA